UGCCGGUGAUGCAUCAAAAUUGUCCGUACCAUCUGAGAUACUUCUCUAUGAUGUUACCAAAACUUAUACAGAUUCUGAGGCGU
RNAcentral lists this small nucleolar RNA (83 nucleotides) under Salix viminalis (osier). RNAcentral describes it as "small nucleolar RNA snoR117". It matches the Rfam family "small nucleolar RNA snoR117". RNAcentral also lists the same sequence under 3 other names. The record is from Rfam by way of RNAcentral. Lineage: Eukaryota; Viridiplantae; Streptophyta; Magnoliopsida; Malpighiales; Salicaceae.